This 271-nucleotide ribosomal RNA is filed under the name uncultured bacterium. RNAcentral describes it as "partial 16S ribosomal RNA". It matches the Rfam family "Bacterial small subunit ribosomal RNA", at positions 32 to 285 of the family's 1533-position model. The record is from RNAcentral.
AAUCAACGCUGGCGGCGUGCCUAACACAUGCAAGUCGAACGCGAAAGUGGAGCAAUCCAUGAGUAGAGUGGCAAACGGGUGAGUAACACGUGGGUGACCUGCCUUCGAGUGGGGGAUAACGUCCCGAAAGGGACGCUAAUACCGGCAUGACAUGCUGUCUUUGAAUAGACGGACAUCAAAGCCGGGGAUCGCAAGACCUGGCGCUAGAAGAGGGGCCCCGCGCCNGAUUAGCUAGUUGGUGGGUAAUGGCUCACCAAGGCAACGAUCAGUA